CCUAUUUUCUCUAAUUGCCACAGGCAAAGGGGAGGUCCGUGGAAGAAUAAAGAAGGUUAUUGUGACAGAUGAAACAUAAUUCACAAUGAGUACUCUUUUCAUCCAGCCUUAAGUAGAGGAGGAUUACUUCCAAGCUGAAUUUGGUGGAAGAAUGUUUGAGCUGAUUUUAUUAACAUAUAAGGACCGGCCAAAGACAGAAAACCUGUUUCUCUUCAGCCGGGUGGUGGUUAUUUUGUGUGUGUGUGUGUGUGUGUGUGUGUGUGUGGUGUGUUUGGGGGUCUUAUUUUGUUCACCUCAAAUAGAAGAGAUGCUGGACAGAAGACAAUCUGGAGAAGCGGAGGGAGUAGGUGGGGAGGGCAGGAAAUCAGAAACUUAAAGCAAUAAAAGUUGGGUUUUUCUAUAGUAGAGAAUGAGAAAUGAUGAGUUAAUAUAUUUCUACAUUCUUUGGCAUGCACAUGAAAUAAAGUCAUACUUUUUUUCAACAAACAUAUGAGCUGCAAAAAUGCUGUUUAGUUUUAUAUGAGAGCUUGAUACUAAACUUCAAUUAAGUAGAGACACACAUAGAGAGAGGCAGAGACACAGGCAGAGGGAGAAGCAGGCUCCAUGCAGGGAGCCCGACGUGGGACUCGAUCCCGGGUCUCCAGGAUCAUGCCGCGGGCUGAAGGCGGAGCUAAACUGCUGCACCACCGGGGCUGCCUCUAACAGCAUUUCCUAAACAGUUUAUUAUACAGAGAAAAAAUCUUUUGACUAGCAAACAAAUACAUGUGUCCACAUAUCCUUGGUGGUUUGCUUUUUUCUACUGGCUAGUCUUUAACAAACUUGAAUUUGUGACAGUGAAAUUUCAAGGACUUUAUCGCUUUCGAGUAAAAUGAUCUAAUAAGUUUUCUGGCCAAACACAGCAGAAGCCUGGAAUUCUUAGACUCGACAGAGGUAUAGAUCCUUUUUAAAGUUCAGCCUAAAAUAGUGAGCUUUUGUCUUUAUAAACUGGAAAAAAACAUGAAAGAUUUAUCAUGAAAGGAAAUGUGGCAAGAAGUGCAUGUCUAUAUUCUAAGAUUUUUCCAAUUACAAAUAAAAACACUAGAAUUAUUUUUCUCAAGCCACAAGUUGAAAGUAGAGUAACCCCCUCCUAUUUUACAUCUAUUCUCAUUGAUCAAUGUGGCUAGAUAAUUCCACCUCCCUUUCCCACAGUUUUGAUUCAAUCUGUUAUAAGUCCAUCUUUUAGAAUGCUUGCUGUGCCCAGUGGUCAGAAACAAAUUUGGUUCAAUACUAAACUGAGUAAUUCAAGUGGACAGCCAAAUAGCUGAUAUUAUACUCAUCUGUGACUGAAAACAAAACAAAACAAAAAAACCCACAGAGAUAAAUUGGAUUUGGUGAGAGAGAUGAUAAAAGACCUUGGUGAAAAUAUAGUGAACAGGUUUGUCAAUAUGGAGAAUUUCUAUUUCCCUUCUUAAGUAUGUUUUUAUGUGUAUGAUUUUGUGAUAUAUCUUAUGCUUUUAGCAUAGUGUUUCUUAAAUUUCUACUACCAAAAUGGCUUGUCAAAUUCCCACAGGUAGGAGACCAUCAGGGAUUCUCCAAAAGAAUCUUACUUAGCAAAUGAGCUUGCAUCUUCUAAUAAACAAGUCAUGAGAAUAUUAAUGUUAAUACUAAUUGCCUAGAAGCAGUCUAAGGGGAAAUAGAAAAAUAGGGUCCUGAUUCUUUCCUCUAGAGCAAAAAAAUCUCAGGGAAGAGGAAAUUAUCAAAAUGUAGUUCUAGAACAUUGAAACUCCUCUUCAUGUUGAAAAGGAUGUAUAAUAAGCACAUCUGUGUUUGGGAAGGUGAAGUUUAACUCAUCUUGUGUCAAGUAUCUUCAAAUACGGCAUGAAAAUUCUUGGCAAUUUCAACAUGCACUCACUUCCUCCUGUGUACCAGGCAACAUGGACCGAAAGAGGAUACAUAAGACAAGGAACUGGAAAUUCCAAGACAAGAUGAUAGACUUGCUCCUCUACUAAGGCAUCCUGAAUUUUCUAUAACAUGAGGAUAUUCCCUAAACUUCCUCUUAACUUGAGCAGUUAGAAUCUUUGUGGACCUCAGUUUCAUGCCAAGUCUAAAACCUAAUUUUACGAAUCCAAAGAGUUGCCAACAGAAUCAUAGAGGAGGAGGUGAGUAAAGUAUGAAAGAUAAAAGAUAGAAGGAGAGAUAGAUAGAGCAUGAGCCAACAUAGAGAAUGGAUUUAGCUGAAUACAAAGUUUCAGUUGGAAAAUAUCAACAUGGAGUUGUCUUAGGUUGAUCCUUCACAAAAAUACUAUUAAGACAAAGUCGGAAAUGCACAAUGUAUUUGAGCUGUAUGGUAAUGGACCGUUGCAGAAACAUUCUAAAGCAUGGGUAUGGCCAGAAAGCCAUGCAGAGAAAAUGUGGUUUCUUUUGGGACCACUAAGAAUGAGACAGAGAUGGAGAGACCAAGAGAGGUAGAUAGUAAUCAGAAUCCUGCAAAACUAAGA
This is a long non-coding RNA of Canis lupus familiaris (dog), 2477 nucleotides long. RefSeq lists it as uncharacterized. The transcript has 3 exons. Lineage: Eukaryota; Metazoa; Chordata; Mammalia; Carnivora; Canidae. The record is from RefSeq and is a predicted model, not a curated record.